UUUAUUUUUAUUUUUUUUCCUAUUAUUGGUUGUGUACAAGAAUUCUCAUCAGCGUUUUGUUUUUGUGGACACCAGUAUCAUUUUGCUACCAGUGUUCAGCCAGUGCAGAUGGCGAAGUAUCCUCCUUGAAGAGUUGCCAAGACGUGGAUGGCAUUGCGAGUCUGGAGGUUUUCACAUUGGGGAGCACAGAAAACUCUCUGAGACUGUGGCCUAAGUGCACCAGCAACCUCCUAGACAGUAACUUUACAGCUGGCACUGGAGCCUGUUCUCAAGGUAGAAUGGUGCCCUGGAAGUUACGCCUGGACAGAGGUGGUGCAUCCUGCUCAGCCAUUUGCAGACUCAGCUCCUGACCGCGAAGCCUCCACCAACUUGGCACACCUCUCAGAACAGAGUCCGAGAGCCCCGUUCACCAGCCGCAGGGACAAAACGGUCGCCCCGUCUCAAAGAGCCCGCAGCUCCGAAGGAAGGGAUGGCGGCGGGCGCAGGUCAGUUCCCGACAGCCUCCUGUUGCGUGUUA
This 517-nucleotide long non-coding RNA is filed under the name Apteryx rowi (Okarito brown kiwi). Its description in RNAcentral is "lncRNA (ENSARWG00000018872.1)". The record is from RNAcentral. Lineage: Eukaryota; Metazoa; Chordata; Aves; Apterygiformes; Apterygidae.